GACGAACGCUGGCGGCGUGCUUAACACAUGCAAGUCGAGCGGUAAGGCCCUCGGGUACGACGAGCGGCGAACGGGUGAGUAACACGUGGGUGACCUGCCUCUAGCUCUGGGAUAAGCCUGGGAAACUGGGUCUAAUACCGGAUAUGACUCCACGGCGCAUGUUGUGGGGUGGAAAGCCUUGUGUGGCUAGAGAUGGGCCCGCGGCCUAUCAGCUUGUUGGUGGGGUGAUGGCCACCAAGGCGACGACGGUAGCCGGCCCUGAGAGGGCGACCGGCCACACUGGGAC
Molecule: ribosomal RNA, 286 nt
Filed under: uncultured bacterium
Lineage: Bacteria
Description: partial 16S ribosomal RNA
Rfam family: Bacterial small subunit ribosomal RNA
Source: RNAcentral